Molecule: ribosomal RNA, 688 nt
Filed under: uncultured Lachnospiraceae bacterium
Lineage: Bacteria; Bacillati; Bacillota; Clostridia; Lachnospirales; Lachnospiraceae
Description: bacterial SSU rRNA
Rfam family: Bacterial small subunit ribosomal RNA
Source: RNAcentral
GCCUAACACAUGCAAGUCGAACGGACGAUGAAGAGCUUGCUUUUCAAAGUUAGUGGCGGACGGGUGAGUAACGCGUGGGUAACCUGCCUCAUACAGGGGAAUAGCAGCUGGAAACGGCUGAUAAAACCGCAUAAGCGCACAGUGCCGCAUGGCACAGUGUGAAAAACUCCGGUGGUAUGAGAUGGACCCGCGUCUGAUUAGCUUGUUGGCGGGGUAACGGCCCACCAAGGCGACGAUCAGUAGCCGGCCUGAGAGGGUGAUCGGCCACAUUGGGACUGAGACACGGCCCAAACUCCUACGGGAGGCAGCAGUGGGGAAUAUUGCACAAUGGGGGAAACCCUGAUGCAGCGACGCCGCGUGAAGGAAGAAGUAUCUCGGUAUGUAAACUUCUAUCAGCAGGGAAGAUAAUGACGGUACCUGAUUAAGAAGCCCCGGCUAACUACGUGCCAGCAGCCGCGGUAAUACGUAGGGGGCAAGCGUUAUCCGGAUUUACUGGGUGUAAAGGGAGCGUAGGCGGCGGAGCAAGUCAGAAGUGAAAGCCCGGGGCUCAACCCCGGGACGGCUUUUGAAACUGCCCUGCUUGAUUUCAGGAGAGGUAAGCGGAAUUCCUAGUGUAGCGGUGAAAUGCGUAGAUAUUAGGAGGAACACCAGUGGCGAAGGCGGCUUACUGGACUGACAAUGACGCUGA